UGGCAAUGUGUUUGUUUACAUACAGUCAAGCAUGAUCCCUAAGGCUGCUCAGGGAGAGAGAACCUAGAAACCUGGCAUGCUGGCAAAAGGGUAAGAAUUUCUUGCCAGUCAGUCUCUGGCCUCUUUCUUUCUGUGCAAACUGGUUACAUUAAAGAUAAAAAUCACUGUUUGUCUCCUCUGUAAAGUUUUGACUUAAUUUGUUUAAUAAUAAUAAGAGCUUAAAUCAAAUGUUUCAUCAGAAAUGUGAAAAACAUAAUGCAGACCAUCAAGCUUCAGAUGAUCAUGCAACAAAAGUCCCAGCUAGUUCCAGGUGAAGACAACACACCUGGCCUUCAAAAAGCUACUCUGCCUCCACUAGAGAGAACAGGGCGAGAGUUCCAUGAUCCCCAGUAGGUAAGGACUACACCCCAAGCCAGCAUGAAGCAGUUACAGAAAAAGACGACCAUUGAUCCCUCUGCUUCCUAUAAAGAUUUAUGGAUUUAUGGGGAUCACAUCUGUUGGCGGGAGGGUGGGAAAAGGGGCAGGAAAAUAGGGUCUGGAGGCAAGGAACAUAUAAGGCUGAUUUACACUUCAGCUAUGAGAGGAAAUAUCCUCUCCAUAGGACAUACACAGAGUAAAUAACUUUGUAACUUUACUUCAUCCUCUCCAUUUACAUAGGGCAUACCAGAAAUAACCAGUGGAAUCCUCUAGGGGGUAUUUAAACU
This 704-nucleotide long non-coding RNA is filed under the name Homo sapiens (human). RNAcentral's name for it is "non-protein coding lnc-NCAM2-13:1". The record is from RNAcentral. Lineage: Eukaryota; Metazoa; Chordata; Mammalia; Primates; Hominidae.